GAUAGCGUGGCCGAGCGGUCUAAAGCGCUGGACUUAAGUUCCAGUCUCUUCGGGGACGUGGGUUCGAAUCCCACCGCUAUCA
This 82-nucleotide transfer RNA is filed under the name Callorhinchus milii (elephant shark). RNAcentral's name for it is "tRNA-Leu (TAA) (tRNA-Leu-TAA-3-1)". It matches the Rfam family "tRNA". From Rfam's summary of the family: Transfer RNA (tRNA) molecules are approximately 80 nucleotides in length. Their secondary structure includes four short double-helical elements and three loops (D, anti-codon, and T loops). Further hydrogen bonds mediate the characteristic L-shaped molecular structure. tRNAs have two regions of fundamental functional importance: the anti-codon, which is responsible for specific mRNA codon recognition, and the 3' end, to which the tRNAs corresponding amino acid is attached (by aminoacyl-tRNA synthetases). tRNAs cope with the degeneracy of the genetic code in two manners: having more than one tRNA (with a specific anti-codon) for a particular amino acid; and 'wobble' base-pairing, i.e. permitting non-standard base-pairing at the 3rd anti-codon position. Lineage: Eukaryota; Metazoa; Chordata; Chondrichthyes; Chimaeriformes; Callorhinchidae. The record is from Rfam by way of RNAcentral.